ACGAACGCUGGCGGCGUGCUUAACACAUGCAAGUCGAACGGAAAGGCCCUGCUUUUGUGGGGUGCUCGUGUGGCGAACGGGUGAGUAACACGUGAGUAACCUGCCCUUGACUUUGGGAUAACUUCAGGAAACUGGGGCUAAUACCGGAUAGGAGCUCCUGCUGCAUGGUGGGGGUUGGAAAGUUUCGGCGGUUGGGGAUGGACUCGCGGCUUAUCAGCUUGUUGGUGGGGUAGUGGCUUACCAAGGCUUUGACGGGUAGCCGGCCUGAGAGGGUGACCGGCCACAUUGGGACUGAGAUACGGCCCAGACUCCUACGGGAGGCAGCAGUGGGGAAUAUUGCACAAUGGGCGGAAGCCUGAUGCAGCAACGCCGCGUGCGGGAUGACGGCCUUCGGGUUGUAAACCGCUUUCGCCUGUGACGAAGCGUGAGUGACGGUAAUGGGUAAAGAAGCACCGGCUAACUACGUG
Molecule: ribosomal RNA, 467 nt
Filed under: uncultured bacterium
Lineage: Bacteria
Description: partial 16S ribosomal RNA
Rfam family: Bacterial small subunit ribosomal RNA
Source: RNAcentral